This 301-nucleotide ribosomal RNA is filed under the name uncultured bacterium. RNAcentral describes it as "partial 16S ribosomal RNA". It matches the Rfam family "Bacterial small subunit ribosomal RNA", at positions 509 to 809 of the family's 1533-position model. The record is from RNAcentral.
CAGCCGCCACGGGAAUACAGAGGGUGCAAGCGUUAAUCGGAAUUACUGGGCGUAAAGCGCGCGUAGGUGGUUUGUUAAGUUGGAUGUGAAAGCCCCGGGCUCAACCUGGGAACUGCAUCCAAAACUGGCAAGCUAGAGUACGGUAGAGGGUGGUGGAAUUUCCUGUGUAGCGGUGAAAUGCGUAGAUAUAGGAAGGAACACCAGUGGCGAAGGCGACCACCUGGACUGAUACUGACACUGAGGUGCGAAAGCGUGGGGAGCAAACAGGAUUAGAUACCCCAGUAGUCCCUGUCUCUUAUCA